RNAcentral lists this ribosomal RNA (253 nucleotides) under uncultured bacterium. Its description in RNAcentral is "partial 16S ribosomal RNA". It matches the Rfam family "Bacterial small subunit ribosomal RNA", at positions 524 to 776 of the family's 1533-position model. The record is from RNAcentral.
UACGUAGGGUGCGAGCGUUGUCCGGAAUUAUUGGGCGUAAAGGGCUCGUAGGCGGUUUGUCGCGUCGGGAGUGAAAACCAGGUGCUUAACACCUGGCUUGCUUUCGAUACGGGCAGACUAGAGGUAUUCAGGGGAGAACGGAAUUCCUGGUGUAGCGGUGAAAUGCGCAGAUAUCAGGAGGAACACCGGUGGCGAAGGCGGCUCACUGGUCCGGUACUGACGCUGAGGUGCGAAAGCGUGGGGAGCAAACAGG